GAGGUGAGAAAAACUACUGUAAACAGAAGCUGAGGACCAGAUUCCCAGUUUAGCUUGUCAGCCCUGAGCUGGACUAGCCGACUAGAGCAAGGAGACAGUUCCUUGCCGACUCUCUCCUUGACGAUGCCAGGAUUCAAUCAUCCUGUAAAUAACAUUGAGUUGGGAAUUUCUCUAUCCACAGUGUGAUGGUCU
Molecule: long non-coding RNA, 192 nt
Filed under: Ictidomys tridecemlineatus (thirteen-lined ground squirrel)
Lineage: Eukaryota; Metazoa; Chordata; Mammalia; Rodentia; Sciuridae
Description: lncRNA (ENSSTOG00000034156.1)
Source: RNAcentral